UGGGACUACGCGGGUUUCUAAUCCUGUUUGCUCCCCUAGCUUUCGUGCCUCAGUGUCAGGAGUUGUCCAGGGACUCGCCUUCGCCACUGGUGUUCCACUUGAUAUCUACGCAUUUCACUGCUACACCAAGUAUUCCAGUCCCCCCUCCAACCCUCUAGCCGAAUAGUAUCCAAUGCCAUUUCCGAGUUGAGCUCGGAGAUUUCACAUCAGACUUACCCGACCACCUACGCACCCUUUACGCCCAGUGAAUCCGAACAACGCUCGGGACCUCUGUAUUACCGCGGCUGCUGACAC
This 294-nucleotide unclassified non-coding RNA is filed under the name uncultured Verrucomicrobiae bacterium. RNAcentral describes it as "contains 16S-23S intergenic spacer region". Lineage: Bacteria; Pseudomonadati; Verrucomicrobiota; Verrucomicrobiia. The record is from RNAcentral.